This 1332-nucleotide ribosomal RNA is filed under the name uncultured Lachnospiraceae bacterium. RNAcentral describes it as "partial 16S ribosomal RNA". It matches the Rfam family "Bacterial small subunit ribosomal RNA", at positions 43 to 1373 of the family's 1533-position model. The record is from RNAcentral. Lineage: Bacteria; Bacillati; Bacillota; Clostridia; Lachnospirales; Lachnospiraceae.
CGUGCCUAAUACAUGCAAGUCGAACGAGGUCUGAUAAGCUUGCUUAGAGGAUCGAGUGGCGAACGGGUGAGUAAUACAUAAGCAACCUGCCUGUAAGGACUGGGAUAGCGCCUGGAAACGGGUGCUAAAACCGGAUAAGUAUAGCGAAGGCAUCUUGGCUAUAUAAAAGGUUCAAAACACAAACAGAUGGGCUUAUGGUGCAUUAGCUAGUUGGUGAGGUAACGGCCCACCAAGGCGAUGAUGCAUAGCCGGCCUGAGAGGGUGAUCGGCCACAUUGGGACUGAGACACGGCCCAAACUCCUACGGGAGGCAGCAGUAGGGAAUUUUCGGCAAUGGGGGAAACCCUGACCGAGCAACGCCGCGUGAGUGAAGACGGCCUUCGGGUUGUAAAGCUCUGUUGUAAGGGAAGAAUGGUAUAGAGAGAAUCUAUAAAUGACGGUACCUUACCAGAAAGCCACGGCUAACUACGUGCCAGCAGCCGCGGUAAUACGUAGGUGGCGAGCGUUAUCCGGAAUUACUGGGCGUAAAGGGUGCGCAGGCGGUCUUUUAAGUUUAAGGUGAAAGCGUGGGGCUCAACCCCAUAAAGCCUUAAAUACUGGGAGACUAGAGUACUGGAGAGGGAAGUGGAAUUCCAUGUGUAGCGGUAAAAUGCGUAGAUAUAUGGAGGAACACCAGUGGCGAAGGCGACUUACUGGACUGUAACUGACGUUGAGGCACGAAAGUGUGGGGAGCAAACAGGAUUAGAUACCCUGGUAGUCCACACCGUAAACGAUGGAUACUAGGUGUAGGAUGUGUUAAACAUUCUGUGCCGUCGCAAACGCAGUAAGUAUCCCACCUGGGGAGUACGGCCGCAAGGUUGAAACUCAAAGGAAUUGACGGGGGCCCGCACAAGCAGUGGAGCAUGUGGUUUAAUUCGAAGCAACGCGAAGAACCUUACCAGACCUUGACAUCCCUCUGAAUACCGGGUAAUGCCGGUAGGCCUUCGGGACAGAGGAGACAGGUGGUGCAUGGUUGUCGUCAGCUCGUGUCGUGAGAUGUUGGGUUAAGUCCCGCAACGAGCGCAACCCUUGUCCAUAGUAGCCAGCAGUAAGAUGGGAACUCUAUGGAGACUGCCGGGGUCAACCCGGAGGAAGGUGGGGAUGACGUCAAAUCAUCAUGCCCCUUACGGUCUGGGCUACACACGUGCUACAAUGGCGUAACAAAGGGAAGCGAGCCUGCGAAGGUAAGCAAACCUCAAAAAUAACGUCCCAGUUCGGACUGCAGUCUGCAACUCGACUGCACGAAGCCGGAAUCGCUAGUAAUCGCAGACCAGAAUGCUGCGGUGAUACGUUC